GUGAUUUAAUUGAACCCUUGAAAUAUAGACGAUCAAGGCUGGUGGCUGAGCCGAGAGAUUUUAAUUAUGUACAGCAUGCAGAUGUUUAUUCAUUUAUGAAAAACUCCAACGUGCAAGAAUGUUAAUAAUAUCUCGCUUCUGUUGCCGUAGAAAUUGCGACACGCAGAUUUCGAGAUUUUUUGCAAAUGACACAAAGCUUAAAUAACAAAAGAUUGCUGAAUAUGGAGAAGGAUAUCUUUAUUAAGUGGAAGGUUUAUUGGCCAAAUCGGCUAGCUUCGCGAAACAAGAAAUAAAGAAAAUUGAUGAGAUUGUAUCGGAUGAGCAUUGAUCAAGUACUUUGGCACUAAAAUUUCAAAGAUCUCAAAAAGUGGAGUUAACCACUUUGGCCUGCGAACGGCACAAAUAUUAGAUAUUAACCUACAUCUCUCUCUCUCUUCUUCUUCUUCUUCUUCUUCCUCCUCCUUUCAUAGUAAUAAAAAUCUAUCCUCCGAUGAUUCAAAGAAAUGAAACAAGUAAAGAAACCUACAUAUCUCUAAAAAUUACUAUAAGAAAUGCUAUUAUGAUUCGUUUAUACCAGUAAAAAGUUCUAAAGAACACAUAAUGAUCAAAUAAACGUCCGAAAGAACGAGCAAACAAUUAUAUUCCACAUGGAACUCUCAUUAACGCGGCUCACGUGGAGCGUCGAUUUCUUUUUCCUCCUCAUCAUCGUACAAAGACCUGCAUACACAAUAUGGCUGGCGCGCGCGUUUUAUUCGCUCGCUCUAUCAUCCUGUUUGGUUAUUCAUAUUUGUUACUUCAGGGUUCGACCCAGUCAUAUGAAUCAAGAUGCACGAACGAGGCUUCAGGCCGUGAAUUCAUCUACGAUAAUAAAUCGUCGCGAAUCGCUGAUUCACUCUUUAUAUGCUCAUUUAUGCGCGCGCGCGUUCGCUCGUUUGACCACGUUUCUCGAAAUAGACACGCGCGUGUGCGUGUGGUAAAAUUUGUUUCUUGCUGUGGCAAACAAAAAUCCACGGUUGCUGAACCCUCGUGCAUCCGUUUGUAAAAUAUUGAAACAACUGGCUGAAUAUUUACGAGCGUUCCUCCUUCGAUAACGCGACCGCACGAACGAAGAAUUCAAUGGCGAGACGGGGUCGGAAAGAUUUUUAAUUGUUGGAAUUGAUUCAAUGGCAGGGGCCAGAGAUCUUUUGUCUUUCCACCAGCUAAAUCGAGAUGGAACGUAAGUGCGUUGUUCGUUAGUAUUAAUAGCUAAUUUCGAGAGCAUCCUCGGCUUUUUUUACUCGCAAUAUUAUAUAUGUUAAAUACCUUUGAAACAAAUGUCGUUACAUUCGUUCGUAAAAACAUUUACGUCUAACAGAGGGUGGUUCGAGAGUUCUGCACAGUUUUAAGUUCUAUACGCCUUUAACGUUGAUAAGUUUGAUGCUAGGAGAGCAGAGUAUCGAAUGUUCUAAUAUAAACUUGGAAGAGAUGAAUGCCUCCAUGUAGAAGCGAGAAACGUUAAACACUUUAUAGAAAUGGAAAAUUUCGGAUAUGUUGGAACGCAUGUAGAGGAGAAAAUUUAUCGAAUGUACAAGUUUGUUAAUAACCUCCGGAGGUUAUUAAUAUUCUUACGUAAAAGUGAAGGACAUUUUAACGAGGAAGUGGAAGAUUUCAUUCCAAUAGUCUAAAGCAUAAGAUUAUGUAUUAUUUAUAGGUAUCGGAUGUUCUAGUAUAAAAUUGGAGUACAUAGACUAUUUAUAUUCCUUGGUAUAAUUGAACGCUCCAAUAUAUAUACAAGUGGAAGAUUUCAAAUGCACGAACGCAGAAGAGACUGUCGAACGUUCCAAUCCUUCGUGGACAAACUAGAUCGUUCGUAGAUCUAAGCUUAUCCUCUUCUAUUACUCUACUUUUAAAAAAUCUAAAAAAAUCUCAUAUUAUUUAUCAAUAUCUAUACUACAUUAUACGAUCGUUCUUAUUAUAUAUAUAUUAAAUCCUUUUAAAUAAAAAUAAAAAUUCAAAGGUGAAAUUUAUCAUUAUUUUGUAUCUAAGGAGAUAUAGAACGAUUAUUAUGAUAUAGUUAGAGGCUUCAUGCGUUCAUAGAAGCAAAGAACAUCAACCAUAUCCAUAUAAAACAAGAAACUAUUAAACGCUAUAUGUAUCACGCAUGUAGAAAAUUUAUACAAACCAACAGAACGUAGAACGCUAUAACGUAGAAUCGGAAGAUACUAAAAUACCCUAAUGCAUAAAUGAAGAACUUUGAACCCUCUGAUGUAAAAUUAGAGAAUAUUGAGUGUUCUAUCAGAGAACUAACAAACAUCGAGCAUUGUAAUGUAACAUUACGAAAUAUUAGAUAUCCUAAUAUGGGGACGAAGAACGUCAAACGUCACGAUGUAAAAUUGAGAAAACAUUAAAUCGUUCGCUGUACGAGCACUAAACUAUCCGAUUUGUAGAGUUACAAAAUACUAGCAGCUUCGUCAUGGAAAAUGGUGAAUAUUAAAUUCCAUAUUGUAAAACUAGGGGUUAUUAAAUGUCCCUAUAUAAAACUGAAGAAUAUCGAAAGGCAGUAUCUGCUGUUAAACAAGAUAAAAUACGACAGAAUCGGAUAAGCGGAAUAAAAUAACGAUUACGAUGUAACGGAAAGGACAAGAAAGGCGUGACGUUUUUUCAACUCCCGUCUGGCCCAUACUUUUUAACGAGCUGGUAAUAAAGUGAGCCAUUCAGCCGAAAUGAAUUUAUGUAUACUUCACGCGACAUGGAAAUGUGCACCGGCUUCCAAUUGCCACUUCAAUAGGCGUUAACGCAGAUAAAUGGCCCCCAACCGCAAUCAUCGACGUUCUUCGUGGCUUCCACCAGCUUUUCUAUUAAUGUAUUCUAUAAAAUCGUAUCGUUGCCGAUUUACCGCGAAACUCUUAGCCACCCUUGUUGCCUGGUCACUGUCGCAAUUUAUUGAUCCUAUAAAUACCCAAAAGCGAUUGUCUUACGGAAAUAGGAUUUAAAAUAUGUCGUCAAUCUUUUGCUAAAUGUGAAUCUAUUUGUAGUUUGUCUGGCGAGUCUUAAAUAUUUUGGUUUAUUCGAAUUUGUAAGGAUUUCGUGAUCUAAAGAACUGUAUAAUCUAACACGUACUGUACACGUUGAACAAAAAUUAUUUGAUUAGAUAUCGAUCGGAUAUUUAUAUUUUCUCAAUCCAUACUACACCUUCCAUUCAUGAUCAAUCAAGCGUUAUUUCCAUAAAGUGAAAGCGUCAUUGUAUCCAUCUCAGGUUCCACCUGAUCCAAUAGAAAUAAAAUAACUAAGUUUACGUUAUCUAAAAUAAUGAAUAAAUAUGAAGUAUUAGCACGAGUAUUCUAUUUUGUACAUUUUACGUAUUUUCUGUUUUUGCGCUUCCAUAUUCCCCACAGAUGUAUAUAUAUCAGCAGUAUAUUAAUCAGUUCGAAAGGAAGACCACCAUUUCAUACUUUGAAAUAAAAAGAAUCGAACAUUAGCGUGCAAGGAAGAUAAUUUCACUUGUGACUCAUAUUCUCAAUCUCUUGGACAUAAUAAUUUAGACUAUGUCAUAUUUAUAUUUGGAGGAACGAAAAUCGAUCAAUCUGAAAUUGAUCUGUCCUCUGUAACUUUCAAUUUCAUGAUUACAGGAAUUUCCGAUUAACUCCGCUCUGCUCUUUCGCUCAUUCUCGACUCAAUUACGUAUAUCUUUCUAACCUUAAGGAGUAUCUUAACCUUGAGCAAACUAUGACAAAAAACAACUAUGAUAAUAAAUCGUUACGCGUGACUUUUCAUUUCGAUUCUCUAUUAAACAUCUUUCUAAAACAUUGGGCAUCUUCUUUAUUUGCCAAGACGAAAGUAACAUUGAAAUAUCAAAAUUCGAGGGUCGCGGAAGAGUUAAAAGAUAACUCGCUCAAUAAAUUCAUUGUUAUGGAAAGAUUCAUCGUGUGGAAUCUCAAAACCAAGCAAACCUAACUGGCCGUUACUCGAUUAUGUGAAAUCCAAUUAACUUCGCUCCCAGUCCUUGUGCGUGAAAUAAUCUUCAAACGCCAGCGAAAUAAAAACAUUAUCCAGUGGCCUAACAAGGUGGAACGGAAGAAUUGGUCGCCACCUGACGAAGGAACAGAACCGAUUCGAUCCAUGACGCGAUUCGUUGUACCUUGCGUGGAUGGUAUGGAAACGUAGGCUCGCCGGAAGCCGAUAAGGGAGGAAAAAGCACGUUCAGUGCGUAAAGUUGGCAUCCAGGGUCGAACAAGGCGGGUAUAGAGCGUGGCUCGGUAACAUAACGGAUGUAUCGGAUGUCCAGAUCUCUCAACCUGCUGCCGCGCAGGAUUUUUCGUGGCUCGCAACGACCCGCUGACCACUCUCCUCACUUGAUAUCCGAUAACGUCCACGAAGGUCCUUAUUAUACCCAGCAGGACACAGCCUCUCCUUCUCACGACUUUUACGGAUUCUCUCCCGGACCCGGGAAUAUCCGCUUUCUGAUCAAACUUCGUUUGGCCACGAGAGUACGUCGAAGAGAAAGGAACAAGCUAUAAAGGAUUUUAGACAAAAGGAAGGGUUCAAUAAGCAGAGAAUGACAAGGGAUUUUAAAAUCCUAAGAGACCCUAGAAAAUAAGAGAAUAUUGUUCAACGUUUCCGACGAAAUUUGGUAAGUUGAUGGUC
Molecule: long non-coding RNA, 4623 nt
Organism: Bombus huntii
Lineage: Eukaryota; Metazoa; Arthropoda; Insecta; Hymenoptera; Apidae
Exons: 4
Source: RefSeq, a predicted model, not a curated record